GGGAAGGUGGCUUAGUGGUAGAGCACUUGCCUUGCAUGCAUGAUGCCUUGGGUUUGAUUCCCCAUCACCACA
Dipodomys ordii (Ord's kangaroo rat) is the source of this 72-nucleotide non-coding RNA. The record is from Rfam. NCBI's taxonomy places the organism in Eukaryota, Metazoa, Chordata, Mammalia, Rodentia, Heteromyidae.